ACCUUUCUCCCUCUCUCUUCCGCCGUCUAUUCUCCCUCUUUUACGUCUCCGUCUCGUCUUCUUGCUCUUGCAUAUCUUCUCUCCUUUCAUAAACAGUGUCACCCUUUUCCCUCUUUCCGCUUGCCGUUCCCAAUCUGCCAUCUCUUCCCUCACUCUCUUCCUUCUGGUUCCUAUUUCUUGGUUGGGAUGUGGGGGGUUUCGCGAGGCUACAGCCGGGAGACGACGGCAUGAUCGGCUCAAGGUCGGUUGGAAGGACCUUCCGGGUCGGAUCGAGAAUGGCUCCACCCGAGAAGGAUAUCGGAUCCGUUUUUACCUCAUUACAUCAGAUCCUAGCGGGCCCCUCCCUAAACGGGUAAGCGACGCUCCCUCGCUCCAAGUCCUGAUCCUAUCCGUCCGAUGACGCGUCCGCAGUAGAUGUGAGGUCGAGGAGGGUUAGUUACCAGUCACCACUUCAUCCGCCUAUGAUAGGCAUCUCUAUAAAUCGAGGCCCUUCUCGACUCUUCUCGUCGCUUCACGGCUCUCUGGCAAAUCGCAUGUCUUUCCUCGUUCGUUCCGUUUUCCACUACCGUGCAUCCCAACCGUUUCCCUCUUUCCACACCCGUCGCCAGCGUUGUGGCUGCCGUUUCUCGAUCGGCCCGCCUCCGGCCUCGGGACGCUUGGCGUCGCGGCAUUGUUUUCCGACGGGCGGAUUCUCUCUGGCGCCUUAGCCGCAGGCUUUGCGAGUACGUGGGGCGUUAUUUGUCUGCGUUGGUGGCGGGGAAGAUAUUACCAACCAACAUGACAUAAAGUUGUGUGUACUGCUCCUACAUGCUAAGAUAUCUUAAAUCAUGAAGUCCCUGCAACCAAUAUUAUAGUCCUAAAGGGCCCCAGAUCAAGGUUAGACCAUGAGACGAGCUAGAAGUCAAAAGAAUGGUGGUUGUUACAGGUUGUUGGUUGUCACUUUUAUCAAUGUGACAAUUUGACUCUCUGAUAAUGAGUUGCUUAUUCAGAGAUUUCUCCAUUGCCAUUCUUUCUUCCCUUGGACAUUCCAAUAAACUGUAAGAACCAUGAAGACGCAGCAAUUGUGCCCAACCAGCUAGAUGCUUAGUCUUUGGUAGAUCAUGUGCAUUUUGAUGCUAUUUUUCGCUGGAAUACGACAUCGACUAAAUGGCUCCGUCUCCCCAGGGUAAAUUUGCGAGCAGAAUUAUCAUGAGGUGAGCAUGAAAACACUAUCGAUUUUUACCCCCGGUACCCUGCCCCACCUUUUUUUAAUCUAAUUUUGAAGUCGAGACUUGAGUAAAAGCCCUCGAGAAUAUAAAUUAAGCCCACAAUAUAAAUUAAGACGGCUAGUUCCACAAUAUAUAAGGAUCAAUUUUAAACAUAAAACGUUAGAAUGGUUUCACGUUAGUUAGAGUUUUAGGACUUCGAUGACUUCGUGUACUUGGAUGACUUCUAAAGUAUCUUACACGGGUGACCUAACAAAUCUUUCUCAACCGUGGAGCUUGC
This is a long non-coding RNA of Musa acuminata AAA Group (dessert banana), 1485 nucleotides long. RefSeq lists it as uncharacterized. The transcript is spliced from 5 exons. The record is from RefSeq and is a predicted model, not a curated record. Lineage: Eukaryota; Viridiplantae; Streptophyta; Magnoliopsida; Zingiberales; Musaceae.